AGAGUUUGAUCCUGGCUCAGAGCGAACGCUGGCGGCGUGCUUAACACAUGCAAGUCGAACGCGCAGCAUUCUGUAGCAAUACAGGGUGUGGGCGCGUGGCGAACGGGUGCGUAACACGUGGAUAACCUUCCUUCAGGUGGGGAAUAACCCAGUGAAAACUGGGCUAAUACCGCAUAACAUGACGAUGGCACAUGCUGUUGUCUUCAAAGGCGCAAGUCGCCAGAAGAGGGAUCCGCGGCCGAUUAGCUUGUUGGCGAGGUAAUGGCUCACCAAGGCAAUGAUCGGUAGCCGGACUGAGAGGUUGGCCGGCCACACUGGAACUGAGACACGGUCCAGACUCCUACGGGAGGCAGCAGUGGGGAAUCUUGCACAAUGGACGAAAGUCUGAUGCAGCAACGCCGCGUGGGGGAUGAAGCUUCUCGGAGUGUAAACCCCUUUCGACCCGGAAGAAUGCCCGCAAGGGUUUGACGGUACGGGUAUAAGAAGCCCCGGCUAACUACGUGCCAGCAGCCGCGGUAAUACGUAGGGGGCCAGCGUUGCUCGGAAUUACUGGGCGUAAAGGGUCUGUAGGCGGUGCGGCAAGUCGAUAGUGAAAUCCCUAGGCUUAACCUAGGGGCUGCUAGCGAAACUGCCGUGCUAGAGUGUGAGAGAGGCGAGUGGAAUUACGGGUGUAGCGGUGAAAUGCGUAGAUAUCCGUAGGAACAUCCGAGGCGAAAGCGGCUCGCUGGAUCACAACUGACGCUGAGAGACGAAAGCUAGGGGAGCAAACAGGAUUAGAUACCCUGGUAGUC
RNAcentral lists this ribosomal RNA (791 nucleotides) under uncultured soil bacterium. RNAcentral describes it as "bacterial SSU rRNA". It matches the Rfam family "Bacterial small subunit ribosomal RNA", at positions 8 to 795 of the family's 1533-position model. The record is from RNAcentral.